CGGUUGCUGCGGGGCCCGUCAGGUCCCCAUAUCCCUCCGGCCAAUAGUGGACUCCAGGGAGCUGUCCCUGUCGGACUCAGGGUUCGGUACACGGCACCCACCUGCGUGAGCAGGCCAGAGAGGAUCACUCGACCAACGACUUUCGCGGCGCCGCC
RNAcentral lists this non-coding RNA (155 nucleotides) under Defluviicoccus sp. RNAcentral's name for it is "6S / SsrS RNA". It matches the Rfam family "6S / SsrS RNA". Rfam says of the family: E. coli 6S RNA was the first non coding RNA to be sequenced, but its function was unknown until recently. Lineage: Bacteria; Pseudomonadati; Pseudomonadota; Alphaproteobacteria; Rhodospirillales; Rhodospirillaceae. The record is from Rfam by way of RNAcentral.